Zingiber officinale is the source of this 1826-nucleotide long non-coding RNA. RefSeq lists it as uncharacterized. The transcript has 3 exons. The record is from RefSeq and is a predicted model, not a curated record. NCBI's taxonomy places the organism in Eukaryota, Viridiplantae, Streptophyta, Magnoliopsida, Zingiberales, Zingiberaceae.
CCCAAAACCUAAGUCCAAAAUCUGAAACCCAUUAACCUUACCUCUUCUCCCAAUUCCCACACACGGAUGCACAUCUUGGUUCUUCUUCAUUUUAGGGUUCGCGACAAGCCAUCACCCGCCGCCACCACUUCUUCCUCCUUCACAAUCGGAUAGCGGCCUCUUCCCUUUCCUUCACUGCCACUGGCCGUUCAUCCACAGUCCAUUCUUCUUCUUCUUGAUUCCAAGUGGUGAGCGGCAGCGACAAUCUUUAAGGCAGUAGUGAAUUUCGGGACGACUCCGUUUGAGCUCAGCUCAUCAGAGAGGUUUCUUCGGUGUUCUCUUCUACUUCCCUUGCUCCCUAGAGUCCUUACUGUAGUGACAGUAGCAGCGCACUUCAAGAGGCAGUGGCGGUAGCGAGCUUCGAGCAUCUACCUCACCAGAGGGGUUCUCCGGUGUGACCUCCACCUUCCAGAUUCCUUCAGACAACUUUACCAUAUGAGGUUCAGGCGGCAGAGCAAGAAGGAGUAGCGGUAGUUCAUCCCAUUUCACAAAGUAUUCUCAAAGCCGGCCAACUUCAUUUGGAGAGGGUUUCUUCAAGUGAAGAGUCAUCUCAUUGUUGUUGUCAAAGUAUUCGGCUACUAGUACUGUGUCGGUGAUCUCUUCGGUCUUGAAUUCCUCUGAUGACGAGGUGAUGUCCAUCGAAGAGUCGGAUGAUGAAAUGAUGCCCAUCGAAGAGUCAGAUUCUUCUUUUCUUGGAUUGUGGAGUUCCAAGAACUUUCGUAGGCGUCGAUUUUUCUGAGUUCUUGAGCAGGGAAUUAAAGAAGAGCCAUGGAUAUGAGUCAAAUCAAACCGAUUGACUCAGAGCUAUAGAUCUAAAGUCGGUUCAAUUUGAGAAUAUUUGGUCCAAGUCAAAUGAAGAGUUGGGUUCAUCUAGCUCAAUCAAGAAAGAUAUCACCUUCGAAUGGUUUCAACCUUAAACCCAAUCCUCAAGCCCAAUUUUGAAGUCCAAUCUUGAAGGCCAAUUUCAUAGUCCAAUAUCAAUCUCUCUUAUCAAAUCCAGAUCCAAACUUCCUAUGAACCCAAAACCUAAGUCCAAAAUCGGAAACCCAUUAGCCUUACCUCUUCUCCCAAUUCCCACACAUGGAUGCACAUCUUAGUUCUUCUUCAUUUUAGGGUUCGCGACAAGCCAUCACCUGCCACCACCACUUCUUCCUCCUUCACAAUCGGAUAGCGGCCUCUUCCCUUUCCUUCACUGCGACUGGCCGUCCAUCCACAGUCCAUUCUUCUUCUUCUUGAUUCCAAGUGGUGAGUGGCAACGACACUCUUCAAGGAGGUAGUGAAUUUCGGGACAACUCCGUUUGAGCUCAACUCAUUGGAGAGGUUUCUCCGGUGUUCUCUUCUACUUCCCUUGCUCCCUAGAGUCCUUACUGUAGUGACAGUAGCAGCGCAAUUCAAGAGGCAUUGGCAGUAGCGAGCUUCGAGCAUCUACCUCACCAGAGGGGUUCUCCGGUGUGACCUCCACCUUCCAAAUUAUUUCAGACAACUUUACUAUCUAAGCUUCAGGCGGCAGAGCAAGAAGGAGUAGCGGUAGUUCAUCCCAUUUCACAAAGUAUUCUCAAAGCCAGCCAACUUCAUUUGGAGAGGGUUUCUUCAAGUGAAGAGUCAUCCCAUCGUUGUUGUCAAAGUAAGUAGCAGACUGACAGUGUGCUAUUGUUCACCAAAGUUAGGGAUUCUAUCUCUGGGCCCUUGUGUGACGGCAAGGCUAGUCCUUUGGCAUUGAAAGUUGAGUGUGGAUUGUGGAGUGGUAACUUGCUUUAUUCAUGUUGAUAUUUAUUAAUUAUGGUUGA